AAGUGUUACAGCUCUUUCAGAAUUUGUCUAGUGGGCUUUCUGUUUUUUCCCCCAGAUUUCCCCC
Small nuclear RNA from Echinops telfairi (small Madagascar hedgehog), 64 nucleotides. RefSeq annotates it as U7 small nuclear RNA. The transcript has a single exon. The record is from RefSeq and is a predicted model, not a curated record. NCBI's taxonomy places the organism in Eukaryota, Metazoa, Chordata, Mammalia, Afrosoricida, Tenrecidae.